CACGUAGGCGGUGAAUCGGGUUGAAAGUGAAAGUCGCCAAAAAGUGGCGGAAUGCUCUCGAAACCAAUUCACUUGAGUGAGACAGAGGAGAGUGGAAUUUCGUGUGUAGGGGUGAAAUCCGUAGAUCUACGAAGGAACGCCAAAAGCGAAGGCAGCUCUCUGGGUCCCUACCGACGCUGGGUGCGAAAGCAAGGGGAGCGAACA
This 204-nucleotide ribosomal RNA is filed under the name uncultured bacterium. RNAcentral describes it as "partial 16S ribosomal RNA". It matches the Rfam family "Bacterial small subunit ribosomal RNA", at positions 568 to 774 of the family's 1533-position model. The record is from RNAcentral.